ACUCAAAGGAAUAGACGGGGGCCCGCACAAGCGGUGGAGCAUGUGGAUUAAUUCGAAGCAACGCGAAGAACCUUACCAAGGCUUGACAUGGAGUCCGCCGGUACAGAGAUGUAUCUUCCCCUUCGGGGGGGACUCACACAGGUGGUGCAUGGUUGUCGUCAGCUCGUGUCGUGAGAUGUUGGGUUAAGUCCCGCAACGAGCGCAACCCUUAUGUUUAGUAGCCAUCGGGUAAAGCCGGGCACACUAGAGAGACUGCCGUGGAGAACACGGAGGAAGGUGGGGACGACGUCAAAUCAUCAUGCCCCUUAUGUCUUGGGCUUCACACGUGCUACAAUGGCCGAAACAAAGUGAUGCAACGCCGCGAGGCAGAGCCAAUCACGAAAAACGGCCUCAGUUCGGAUUGUAGGCUGCAACUCGCCUGCAUGAAGUUGGAAUCGCUAGUAAUCGCGAAUCAGCAUGUCGCGGUGAAUACGUUCCCGGGCCUUGUACACACCGCCCGU
This 500-nucleotide ribosomal RNA is filed under the name uncultured bacterium. RNAcentral describes it as "bacterial SSU rRNA". It matches the Rfam family "Bacterial small subunit ribosomal RNA", at positions 899 to 1397 of the family's 1533-position model. The record is from RNAcentral.